UUCAAGACAAAGGGAUACGACUUAAACAUCAGAAAAAUAUUAUUGAAAGUUCGAGUUACAUGUACUACAUUUAAUUUUUAACAUAAAAGACAAGUUGUGAUCUUGAAAUGCGAAAUUAACCUGAAAGUUUAAAAAAGAUUUGUAAGUUUAAUGUUUGUAUGCUCGAUAACAAAGACAUUUCGGCAGGUGUUUAUCUUGGUUUCUAAACAAAUUUAUUUGUCAUUGUACUGUAUAUGGUGUAAAAAUUUAUAUGAAUACGAGUAAGAUACGAGUAUAAUACAAAACUGUACAUGUUUUUGUUUGUCAUAUUAUUUGAGAGAGAGAGAGAGAGAGAAAGGUAUAUAUUUUUAAUAUGUUUUUUUGUUAUAUUAUUUGAGAAAGAGAGAGGGGGAGAGAAAACUCGGUUAUCCUGAAAGUCGGAGACUUAGACAUACUACAUUGUUAUUAUAAGAACAAGACAAUUAGAUAAUUAAGGGGGAUGUAUAUUUAUUUCCCUCGUACUAAUAUAUUUACCAUUUAUAAAAAUACGUGAAUGAUAAUCAUCUGAAAAUUCACAGAUUUUUAAAAUAUUGUUAAGUAUAGUAGUGUCACGCAAUGCUGUCUAUCAACUAACACGGAAUAAAGAUAAACUAUUGAGGUAUGAUAAUUUACUAAUUAUGAUUGAUAUUUGCGAUUGGUAGAUAAGUUUGGCAUAUUGUAACUAAUAUAUAAUUGUUUUAUUGCUAAUUUUGGCAUGUUUAGUACUCAGUAAUUGUCCCCUAAAGGUUCUAUAGCUAUAAACGCCAUAUUAUUCGUGUUUCCACUCAAAUACAAUCAUUGUACAUUUUGAAAGAAUAUUUACUUUAUACAUUUUAUAAACAAAAAUUGGAGUUUCAAAACUGGUAAUAUAUUAGACAUUACAAGGUUAGAUAUAUUUUGAACACUUUGUCUGUGAUACUUCUUUUUUUACUUGUUAUUCCGUGACACAGGUUUUAUUUGGAAAACGAAAAAAAGUGUCGGUAUAUGUCUUUUUGUACUCGUUAUUCUGUUACAGGUUUUAUUUGUAAAUGAAAAAAAGUUUUGGUAGUUUAUAUAUUAGAUACAUGUACAUGUAGUUUCCUGUUUAAUCAUUCCGUCAUUACGUCUAGACAGUAAAACAUGUUGGUUUCUGUAUAACGGUAAUACUUUUCUGAUACCUUUGCAUACUCCUGUUUCGUAGUUAUUAUAAUUUUCAUGUUUUCGUAGUUAUUAUAAUUUUCAUGUUUUAGUAGUUAUUAUAAUUUUCAUUUAUUUGGAAGAAUUCAAAAUGAUUAAUAUAGAUAAUUAAUUGAAAAAUGAUAAGAGAACGACCAUUUGACUUCAAGUUUGUGAUGUUUUUUUUACUAAAAUAUUAUUCCGAUCCCGAACUUGAUGAUAACAAAUAUUGUAGUCAACCAGAUGACAAAAAAAUCUGAUUUGCCUCCAUACCUCAUAGUGUUGAAUUUUGAGGAAGAAAAAAUUUCUAAAAAAAAUACCAGUAUCCCCCCCCCUUUUAAGUUGAUGGUUGGUAUACAGUGGGAUGGCCUACAGAUUAACAGGCUAACAAUACGAUACAAAUGGCUCGUAUCGGGAUCUAAUUACAUUCGCACCCACACGUUCGCCCCAUAGGCCAGGAAUCUGUCGAUUUGAUUUAUUUAAAAAGAAAAUAAACAGGAAGUGUUCAUUACAAAAUGAAUUGACAAACUAAAUCAAUAAAUCAAAAUAAUUGUAAAAUUUUAGCGAUUUCUGUAAUUUAGUUCUCUUUUUAUUUCGAUAUUACCGCUAUUUCUCCUAUUAGUUCUACAGAAAUUAACAAAAAUGUAUGCUUCUUUCGAAGGCAGAUUGUGAGCGUAAAUGAACGGUGACCCCAUUUUUUUAUUUCAUUUUUCUAUUUAGUAUAAGAUAAAGUUCAUUUAUAGACAAAUAUAGAGAAAUCCUAUAUUAAAUAAAAAAUUUCAUUUAGAUCCGCGAGCCCCCUUAAGUAGUUUUAAAAAGAACAUCAAACAGAUGCAUACAUGUAAUAAUUUUCAAUUAUCACAUUAAGGUGACCGUGUUCUAAAAAUAACAAGAUGUAUUAUAAUUGCCAAUGAAACAACUCUCUACCCAUGCUACCAGUGACCAAAUGUCAUAAAAGUUAACAACUGUCGGUCAUCUUACAGCCUUCAAGAAUGAGCAAAACCCAUACUGCAUGGUCAGAUAUUAAAAGCUUGAAAAGGGCAAAUGUCAAACAAUUCAAAUGAGAAAGUAAUGGCAUGAUUUAUGUUAAAACAAUGAACAAAAUACAAAUGUGACAUACAUUUUGUACAGUAACAAAUGACAUCCACUGAAUUACAGGCUCCUGACAUGACUUUUUUUCAUUAUUAUUUUAAUAAUUGUUAACUUAAGGUUACCAUGGUUAUGUUUGUCAAUAUUUAAGAUUAAGAAUUAGGUCAUAAUCUAACUAACUGUAUGAAAAAGGCAAAUUAAUUAUAUCAAGUCCAAAGAUUCAUUGUCAUUAAAAUAGUAUUUAGGAGUAAUAAGAAACACUAGUCACCUUAGAGCCAGAAUAAUGUGCCUGGGAAUUAUAACUUUGAACCAGAACAAUACGAAUCAUGUUAAGCAUGUCAAUAAAGUACAAAGCAGGGGUCAUGUGACAUGAACAUGUGUUGAUAUGCAUGAUUUCUUUACUACAUUGGUUAGAGGUAUAGGGGGAGGGUUGAGAUCUCACAAACAUGUUUAACCCCGCCGCAUUUUUGCGCCUGUCCCAAGUCAGGAGCCUCUGGCCUUUGUUAGUCUUGUAUUAUUUUAAUUUUAGUUUCUUGUGUACAAUUUGGAAAUUAGUAUGGCGUUCAUUAUCACCCUUGUUAAACUCUUGCUUUACAAAAAGUGGGGGUCAUACUGUUUUACCUCUGUCGAUAUCCAUCUGUCCCAUGAAUAUUUUUCAUGGCAUCUUUCUCAGGAACUACAUCAUAAGGAUUUCUGAAAUUUGGUUGCAGGGUUUAUAUAAGUCAGCUGUACCGUGUGAUGAGUUCUCAAAUUCAUCACUCAGCAACAUGCAGUUUAAAGAACAUUUACAUAUUUUUACAUUAUUAAAAUUGGCCAGUUGUGGUGGUGGGGGGGGGGAUAUCAUCAUUGAGUAGAACUCACAGUUUCACUUGUUUUGACUCAUAAGUUACAUCUAUCAGUGACAAAAUAUUAUAUUUGAUUAACUUUUUACUUUUUCAGGAAGUUUUAAAGCAGAAAAGAG
RNAcentral lists this long non-coding RNA (3223 nucleotides) under Mytilus galloprovincialis (Mediterranean mussel). The record is from RNAcentral. Lineage: Eukaryota; Metazoa; Mollusca; Bivalvia; Mytilida; Mytilidae.